UCGGGCUUCAAGGUGUCACAACUAACUUGAAUUUCAACAUGUCUGCAAAGAAUUCAUUUGUCCAAAUAAACACUAAUAGGAUACUGCAGACCGAAGAUCCACUUUGACCCAGACUUGCAACCGAUGCCAAAGACAAGCUGAAAGUAAUGAAGCUUUGUGGACAUUCACAGAAAUUCAUUACAAGAAGGACAUCAGGGGUGGCCGUAAAAAGGAUGAGCAUUUGUCUUCAGUAAAAUUAUAUAAACGUCUUUUACUUCUUUUUUAACAUGAUUUUGAUUUUGUGCAUUUCCCCCAACAGUUUCAUAUUUAUCCAAACUGGUUUUCCUUCAACAAAAUUGUUGGUCUGCAGUUUUGGGAUCAUUCUUCUUUGAGUUAAGCAUCGCAUGGGUUACUUUACUUAAAAAAUACUACAGGCUCCGCAGACUUGAUAGUAUUGUGCGAAUUUAAGCCAUUUAUUCCCCUUUUGCUCAUAAUCACGUUUCUACAACGAAUUGGUUACAUUAUAAAGUAACUUUUGACAUGACAAUUUAUAUCAUCGUAAAAAGAAAAUGCAAAUACAACA
Molecule: long non-coding RNA, 562 nt
Organism: Acanthaster planci (crown-of-thorns starfish)
Lineage: Eukaryota; Metazoa; Echinodermata; Asteroidea; Valvatida; Acanthasteridae
Source: RefSeq, a predicted model, not a curated record